This 245-nucleotide ribosomal RNA is filed under the name uncultured bacterium. RNAcentral describes it as "partial small subunit ribosomal RNA". It matches the Rfam family "Bacterial small subunit ribosomal RNA", at positions 26 to 285 of the family's 1533-position model. The record is from RNAcentral.
AGAAUCAACGCUGGCGGCGUGCCUAACACAUGCAAGUCGAACGAGAAAGUGGAGCAAUCCAUGAGUAAAGUGGCGCACGGGUGAGUAACACGUGACUAACCUACCCUUGAGUGGGGGAUAAACCUAGGGAAACCUGGGCUAAUACCGCAUAAUACCUUCGGGUCAAAGGAGCAAUUCGCUUAAGGAGGGGUCGCGGCAGAUUAGUUAGUUGGCGGGGUAAUGGCCCACCAAGACAGUGAUCUGUA